This 204-nucleotide unclassified non-coding RNA is filed under the name Tricholoma argyraceum. Its description in RNAcentral is "partial internal transcribed spacer 2". Lineage: Eukaryota; Fungi; Basidiomycota; Agaricomycetes; Agaricales; Tricholomataceae. The record is from RNAcentral.
AAUUCUCAACCUUUUCAGCUUUCUUUGUUGAUCAGGCUUGGAUGUGGGAGUAUGCGGGCUUCUCAGAAGUCGGCUCUCCCGAAAUGCAUUAGCGGGACCUUUGUUGCCUGGCUUUGGUGUGAUAAUUAUCUACGCCAUUGUAGUCAAGCAGCUUAAAAUGAGGUUUCAGCUUCUAACCGUCUCCCCUGAGACAACUUUUUGACA